RNAcentral lists this ribosomal RNA (485 nucleotides) under fungal endophyte sp. ECD-2008. RNAcentral's name for it is "eukaryotic LSU rRNA". The stretch from base 129 to 282 matches the Rfam family "5.8S ribosomal RNA". Lineage: Eukaryota; Fungi. The record is from RNAcentral.
GUUCAUAACCCUUUGUUGUCCGACUCUGUUGCCUCCGGGGCGACCCUGCCUUCGGGCGGGGGCCCCGGGUGGACACUUCAAACUCUUGCGUAACUUUGCAGUCUGAGUAAACUUAAUUAAUAAAUUAAAACUUUUAACAACGGAUCUCUUGGUUCUGGCAUCGAUGAAGAACGCAGCGAAAUGCGAUAAGUAAUGUGAAUUGCAGAAUUCAGUGAAUCAUCGAAUCUUUGAACGCACAUUGCGCCCCCUGGUAUUCCGGGGGGCAUGCCUGUUCGAGCGUCAUUUCACCACUCAAGCCUCGCUUGGUAUUGGGCAACGCGGUCCGCCGCGUGCCUCAAAUCGACCGGCUGGGUCUUCUGUCCCCUAAGCGUUGUGGAAACUAUUCGCUAAAGGGUGUUCGGGAGGCUACGCCGUAAAACAACCCCAUUUCUAAGGUUGACCUCGGAUCAGGUAGGGAUACCCGCUGAACUUAAGCAUAUCAAUAA